UUGUACGAAACUUUAUCGUAGCGAACGGGUGAGGAAUAUGCAAUUUUUUAUUUUUUACCCGAUAAAUCAUUUGUCUGGUAUAAUUAAUUAAACUUUGAUGUAAUGCCGACGCUAAUAUUUUAUAUUAGACAACAAAGUUUAAGAUAAAAAUCUACCUUUUAAUUCAAAAUAAACUAUACCUGUUAAAAUUUUUGAUUUUUAUAGGGCAAACGUACUCUGUAUCUUAUAGUAAUAUUGAAUAAUAAAUUUAUAUAAUUUAUAUUAAAAAGCUUUAUCUAUUGAGAUUUUAAUUCUGUAUAAAGCGUUAAAAGAUGAGUUUGUGUAAGAUUAGGUUGUUGGUAGAAAUAACAGUUUACCAAGCCUUUGAUCUUUAGUUGGUCUUAGAGGACGUACAACCACACUGGAACUGAGACAAGGUCCAGGCUAUUUUUG
This 432-nucleotide ribosomal RNA is filed under the name uncultured bacterium. RNAcentral's name for it is "partial 16S ribosomal RNA". The stretch from base 204 to 432 matches the Rfam family "Bacterial small subunit ribosomal RNA", at positions 106 to 344 of the family's 1533-position model. The record is from RNAcentral.